RNAcentral lists this long non-coding RNA (216 nucleotides) under Setaria viridis. RNAcentral's name for it is "long non-coding RNA (SVIR_LNC008677)". Lineage: Eukaryota; Viridiplantae; Streptophyta; Magnoliopsida; Poales; Poaceae. The record is from RNAcentral.
GCACCGGAUAAAAAGGAAAAAAAGUUUCACCAUAUAUAUAUGACAGCCUACAUACAGCAGUGCAUUGUUGACUAGAAGAAGAAGAUUGAUGGAUGAAUAAUUUAGCAGCCGGGGGAAGAAGAAACUGCAUUCAGUGCUGUGUUGUGAAUGGGAGACAAAAGGGAAGUAGACACCAGGAGAUGACUACGCCUAAGCAAGCCACUUGCCUGAGGCAGU